AAGCGCAUGUGCUGUGAGCUCGAUGAGUAGGGCGGGACACGUGGUAUCCUGUCUGAAUAUGGGGGGACCAUCCUCCAAGGCUAAAUACUCCUGACUGACCGAUAGUGAACCAGUACCGUGAGGGAAAGGCGAAAAGAACCCCGGCGAGGGGAGUGAAAAAGAACCUGAAACCGUGUACGUACAAGCAGUGGGAGCCCCACCACCAAAGCAUUCUCUGGUGUUGAAGGCCCUGCAAAGCAGCAUCGCGGUGGCGGAGCGUCGUUUGCGACGCCCAACACACAAAACAAGCGGUGAGUGCUUUGGGGUGGGGUGACUGCGUACCUUUUGUAUAAUGGGUCAGCGACUUAUAUUCUGUAGCAAGGUUAACCGAAUAGGGGAGCCGGAGGGAAACCGAGUCUUAAUUGGGCGUUAAGUUGCAGGGUAUAGACCCGAAACCCGGUGAUCUAGCCAUGGGCAGGUUGAAGGUUGGGUAACACUAACUGGAGGACCGAACCGACUAAUGUUGAAAAAUUAGCGGAUGACCUGUGGCUGGGGGUGAAAGGCCAAUCAAACCGGGAGAUAGCUGGUUCUCCCCGAAAGCUAUUUAGGUAGCGCCUCGUGAAUUCAUCUCCGGGGGUAGAGCACUGUUUCGGCUAGGGGGCCAUCCCGGCUUACCAACCCGAUGCAAACUGCGAAUACCGGAGAAUGUUAUCACGGGAGACACACGGCGGGUGCUAACGUCCGUCGUGAAGAGGGAAACAACCCAGACCGCCAGCUAAGGUCCCAAAGUCAUGGUUAAGUGGGAAACGAUGUGGGAAGGCCCAGACAGCCAGGAUGUUGGCUUAGAAGCAGCCAUCAUUUAAAGAAAGCGUAAUAGCUCACUGGUCGAGUCGGCCUGCGCGGAAGAUGUAACGGGGCUAAACCAUGCACCGAAGCUGCGGCAGCGACACUCAGGUGUUGUUGGGUAGGGGAGCGUUCUGUAAGCCUGCGAAGGUGGCCUGUGAGGGUUGCUGGAGGUAUCAGAAGUGCGAAUGCUGACAUAAGUAACGAUAAAGCGGGUGAAAAGCCCGCUCGCCGGAAGACCAAGGGUUCCUGUCCAACGUUAAUCGGGGCAGGGUGAGUCGACCCCUAAGGCGAGGCCGAAAGGCGUAGUCGAUGGGAAACGGGUUAAUAUUCCCGUACUUGGUGUUACUGCGAAGGGGGGACGGAGAAGGCUAUGUUGGCCGGGCGACGGUUGUCCCGGUUUAAGCGUGUAGGUGUGUGUUCCAGGUAAAUCCGGUUCACUUUAACACUGAGGCGUGAUGACGAGGCACUACGGUGCUGAAGCAACAAAUGCCCUGCUUCCAGGAAAAGCCUCUAAGCAUCAGGUAACAUCAAAUCGUACCCCAAACCGACACAGGUGGUCAGGUAGAGAAUACCAAGGCGCUUGAGAGAACUCGGGUGAAGGAACUAGGCAAAAUGGUGCCGUAACUUCGGGAGAAGGCACGCUGACAUGUAGGUGAAGUGAUUUACUCAUGGAGCUGAAGUCAGUCGAAGAUACCAGCUGGCUGCAACUGUUUAUUAAAAACACAGCACUGUGCAAACACGAAAGUGGACGUAUACGGUGUGACGCCUGCCCGGUGCCGGAAGGUUAAUUGAUGGGGUCAGCGCAAGCGAAGCUCCUGAUCGAAGCCCCGGUAAACGGCGGCCGUAACUAUAACGGUCCUAAGGUAGCGAAAUUCCUUGUCGGGUAAGUUCCGACCUGCACGAAUGGCGUAAUGAUGGCCAGGCUGUCUCCACCCGAGACUCAGUGAAAUUGAACUCGCUGUGAAGAUGCAGUGUACCCGCGGCAAGACGGAAAGACCCCGUGAACCUUUACUAUAGCUUGACACUGAACAUUGAGCCUUGAUGUGUAGGAUAGGUGGGAGGCUUUGAAGCGUGGACGCCAGUCUGCGUGGAGCCGACCUUGAAAUACCACCCUUUAAUGUUUGAUGUUCUAACGUGGACCCGU
This 1969-nucleotide ribosomal RNA is filed under the name Salmonella enterica. Its description in RNAcentral is "partial 23S ribosomal RNA". It matches the Rfam family "Bacterial large subunit ribosomal RNA", at positions 383 to 2236 of the family's 2925-position model. The record is from RNAcentral. Lineage: Bacteria; Pseudomonadati; Pseudomonadota; Gammaproteobacteria; Enterobacterales; Enterobacteriaceae.